UACGUAGGUGGCAAGCGUUGUCCGGAUUUACUGGGUGUAAAGGGUGCGUAGGCGGGUCAUUAAGUCAGGUGUGAAAUACCGGAGCUCAACUCCGGGGCUGCACUUGAAACUGAAGAUCUUGAGUGUCGGAGAGGAAAGCGGAAUUCCUAGUGUAGCGGUGAAAUGCGUAGAUAUUAGGAGGAACACCAGUGGCGAAGGCGGCUUUCUGGACGAUAACUGACGUUGAGGCACGAAAGCGUGGGGAGCAAAC
RNAcentral lists this ribosomal RNA (250 nucleotides) under uncultured prokaryote. RNAcentral describes it as "partial 16S ribosomal RNA". It matches the Rfam family "Bacterial small subunit ribosomal RNA", at positions 524 to 773 of the family's 1533-position model. The record is from RNAcentral.